UGGGGAAUAUUGCACAAUGGGGGAAACCCUGAUGCAGCGACGCCGCGUGAAGGAAGAAGUAUCUCGGUAUGUAAACUUCUAUCAGCAGGGAAGAUAGUGACGGUACCUGACUAAGAAGCCCCGGCUAACUACGUGCCAGCAGUCGCGGUAAUACGUAGGGGGCAAGCGUUAUCCGGAUUUACUGGGUGUAAAGGGAGCGCAGGCGGUGCGGCAAGUCUGAUGUGAAAGCCCGGGGCUCAACCCCGGUACUGCAUUGGAAACUGUCGUACUAGAGUGUCGGAGGGGUAAGCGGAAUUCCUAGUGUAGCGGUGAAAUGCGUAGAUAUUAGGAGGAACACCAGUGGCGAAGGCGGCUUACUGGACGAUAACUGACGCUGAGGCUCGAAAGCGUGGGGAGCAAACA
Molecule: ribosomal RNA, 402 nt
Filed under: uncultured Roseburia sp.
Lineage: Bacteria; Bacillati; Bacillota; Clostridia; Lachnospirales; Lachnospiraceae
Description: bacterial SSU rRNA
Rfam family: Bacterial small subunit ribosomal RNA
Source: RNAcentral